Gallus gallus (chicken) is the source of this 716-nucleotide long non-coding RNA. The record is from Ensembl. Lineage: Eukaryota; Metazoa; Chordata; Aves; Galliformes; Phasianidae.
CUGGGGUGAUGAAUAUCUGUUGGUUUCCUUCUCUGCCUCAAAAAGCAGCUGAUCAUUGCUGCAGUGCUGCUUCUUCAAAGGAAACUUACUUCCUUGCUCUCAUAACAAUCUCCAUUGGGGCUGACUUGCAAUGGUUGGUCUUCUUUAGUAUGCCAUGUGAAAUUGACAUCGUACUUUCCUUUCAUCAUUGAAAGAAAAUACAACCAUCUCUUCAGUUGUCCUUCCUCAGUUCUGGACACGGUGGAAAUGAAAGAAAAUAUUCCUCUGUGAAAGAUUCAACAACUUGAAGCAACACACUGGUCAAAACUUAUGAACGUGCAGCUCAUUUUCCAGUAAAUCAAGGUUACUGGAUAUUACAGGAGGACAAAGUACUGAGACAUCAUCAUCUCGGAGCUGACAGAAGAAAAUAUCACAUAAAAUAAGGUGAUCUGUGAAGAUAGUCAUGGAGGAGUGAUUAUUUCUUGUAAUGACUCAUGAGGAAGGGGAUGUCCAGUGACUAACAAAUGCAGAUUUAGAACAAACAUAAUAAGGAAGCAUUUCUUCUUGAAAAGUUAGUUGUGGAAGUCACUGUAACCAAAUUAUUUGGAAACUUAAGUGGAUAUAGUGGGCAUAAUCUUUCAAAAUAAAUAAAUAAAUACUUUUUAGGUUCUUUGGUUGUUAUUGAACAGACUGAUCUAGAUACAACCUUUGGGACAAUAAAUUUCUAUGUGGCAGAG